GCCGAAGUGGUGGAAUUGGUAGACGCGCUGGCUUCAGGAGCCAGUGGGCGCAAGCCCGUGGGGGUUCGAGUCCCCCCUUCGGCA
This 84-nucleotide transfer RNA is filed under the name Gemmatimonadetes bacterium 13_1_40CM_2_70_7. RNAcentral's name for it is "tRNA-Leu". It matches the Rfam family "tRNA". From Rfam's summary of the family: Transfer RNA (tRNA) molecules are approximately 80 nucleotides in length. Their secondary structure includes four short double-helical elements and three loops (D, anti-codon, and T loops). Further hydrogen bonds mediate the characteristic L-shaped molecular structure. tRNAs have two regions of fundamental functional importance: the anti-codon, which is responsible for specific mRNA codon recognition, and the 3' end, to which the tRNAs corresponding amino acid is attached (by aminoacyl-tRNA synthetases). tRNAs cope with the degeneracy of the genetic code in two manners: having more than one tRNA (with a specific anti-codon) for a particular amino acid; and 'wobble' base-pairing, i.e. permitting non-standard base-pairing at the 3rd anti-codon position. RNAcentral also lists the same sequence under 4 other names. The record is from RNAcentral. Lineage: Bacteria; Pseudomonadati; Gemmatimonadota.